GACGAACGCUGGCGGCGUGCCUAACACAUGCAAGUCGAGCGGGGAACUGCGGAAUGAAGCUUCGGCAGAAUGAAACAGUUUCUAGCGGCGGACGGGUGAGUAACGCGUGAGCAACCUUUUCUCUCAGUGGGGAAUAACACACCGAAAGGUGUACUAAUACCGCAUGAGACCACAGUGCCGCAUGGUACAGGGGUCAAAGAUUUAUUGCGCAAGGAUGGGCUCGCGUUGGAUUAGCUAGUUGGAGGGGUAACGGCCCACCAAGGCGACGAUGCGUAGGGGUUCUGAGAGGAAGGUCCCCCACACUGGUACUGAGACACGGCCCAGACUCCUACGGGAGGCAGCAGUGAGGGAUAUUGGUCAAAUGGGGGAAACCCUGAACCAGCGACGCCGCGUGAGGGAAGACGGUUUUUCGGAUUGUAAACCUCUGUCUUUGGGGACGAAUAAAUGACGGUACCCAAGGAGGAAGCCACGGCUAAACUACGUG
This 484-nucleotide ribosomal RNA is filed under the name uncultured bacterium. Its description in RNAcentral is "bacterial SSU rRNA". It matches the Rfam family "Bacterial small subunit ribosomal RNA", at positions 28 to 507 of the family's 1533-position model. The record is from RNAcentral.